This 103-nucleotide ribosomal RNA is filed under the name Bacillus amyloliquefaciens. RNAcentral also lists the same sequence under 2 other names. The record is from RNAcentral. Lineage: Bacteria; Bacillati; Bacillota; Bacilli; Caryophanales; Bacillaceae.
UCUGGUGAUGAUGGCGAAGAGGUCACACCCGUUCCCAUGCCGAACACGGAAGUUAAGCUCUUCAGCGCCGAUGGUAGUCGGGGGUUUCCCCCUGUGAGAGUAG